AACGCACAUUGCGCCCUUUAGUAUUCUGAAGGGCAUGCCUGUUCGAGCGUCAUUAUCACUAAUCAAGCCCGGCUUGCUGUUGGACCUCUUGUCGUUAAGAGACAGGCCCCAAAGAUAAUGACGGCGUCAAUUGGACCCUAGAUGCAACGAGCUUUCAUUAGCACGCAUUUUAGUAAAGCCUUUUGACCCGGUCUUUUUUAACCAAUUUCUUAAGGUUGACCUCGGAUCAGGUAGGAAUACCCGCUGAACUUAA
RNAcentral lists this unclassified non-coding RNA (253 nucleotides) under uncultured Cladophialophora. RNAcentral describes it as "sequence contains ITS2". Lineage: Eukaryota; Fungi; Ascomycota; Eurotiomycetes; Chaetothyriales; Herpotrichiellaceae. The record is from RNAcentral.